GUUGGCAACUAAGUGAUUGCGGAUUUUGUCACUAGGUGGCAUUGACAAAAUCCGCAAUCACUUAAACCCAAUAGACUCUCAGCGAGACAAAAACACGAUUAUUCAAAUUUAUUUCUUUCCAACUUACAAUUUAUUAUUAUCAUGAAGAAUUGGUAAUUGUGGUGUUCGCUGGAAAUUACGUUCCAAGUUCACCGACACGAGGCCCUACACAACCUGACACAGGUGUCUAACUUCCGUCCGUCAGAUGCGGUCCGGAAAUCGCGUGUUUACGAGGAAUGCGGCCUAGACACGAUUAAUCUUUAUUAACAUGGACCUCGCUCAGCGGAAAUUCUCACCAACGACUGCAUGCAUAUGCAUUCGUUCGCAAAAAGACAAAGUGAAAGAGGGGGAGACAGAAGAGGAAAAGACAGAAAGAGAGAAGAGAGAAAAAAGAGGGAAUUGUAGUAGUUUAAAGGCGUCGAUCGAUAUCAAAGCCCGGAGCAAUUUGUCGGCGGAGACAAUAUCGAUGAGGAACUAUUGUACACGACAGCCCCGGAGCCUACGAAAGUGCAAAGUAGUCUAGUUCUGCUUAUUCGUCUUUUAUCCUGUCCUCCCUCUCUAAUUAUCCUCGUUUCCGUCUACCUCUGACUUUUUUCUUCUCUCAUUCUCUCUCUCUCUCUCUCUCUCUCUAGCUCGCUCUUUUUCUCUUUCUCUUUCGUUCUUCAACCUCCAUCCGCUGUCUGGUGGAACGACGGCCGAAAUUUCAACGGAAAUCUCGUAAUUAAUCGCCUCAUUAGCAUGUACGAGUCAGCGAAUUUGAUUUAUAUUCUAUCGUAUAGCGUACGUGUUAUGGAAAAUGUAGCUUUCAGUCAAAUAAAACGAUCAAAUCUUAUAUUUCUCGCCUCACUGAUAUUUUACAUUUUUCUUUUCUCCACUGUUUGAGAAAAAUAUUUUCAAACGCGUUUGAACGUUUCUACUGGUUUUUCUGGAGUGAGAAGGCCUCAGUGAUUCUAUUUGGAAAAAAGCUUCGAGUGCAUCUUACCGGCUGCUUCGUUGCACUCGAGGUACAAGCGGAUGGUUGUAAGUUGUAGGUUAGAUGUUCUUAAUGCAUGCAGCUUCUUCCUUUAGAUUUUAUCUCUACGUGUUAAGUAAUGGUCGACUUGGUUUCCUGGUGAAACUCAUGUUUUUAAAUACUCAGAAAGGUAUGUUUGAACGAUAAGGUAAAUGUAACACUAUCGGCUUCUUGCGCUGAAAAUUAAUGUUGCAAUAUUUCUCGAUAUUUUAUAAUAUGUCGUAUAAUUCAUCGCUGAUGUUUUUUCACUUUAACCAUAACUUUGGUACGUAGAAAAAUAAUUCUAAAUAUAUCGUGAGAUCUUUUCUGUUCAGAAUUACAGUACUCGACGUGUCUCAAAGUGUUGACUUUUUUUAUUAUAGCCGUACCAAUAUAAUCGACUGACAUAUGAACCCGAUAGUUGGCCAAAAGCUAAUACAAUUUUUUCCAUUAAAGAUUUCUUCUUUAAUGGAAAGAAAGGAAGCCAAUCGAAUGUAUCCAGACAAAUUGACAAAUAUAUUGGCCGGUCCACACGGUCGACGGUAAGGAAGAAAUUCGAAACGAAAAAACCUAUGAAAUGGCAAGGUGAUAUUGCAUUCCUCUUUCUCAUUGGCCUUUUUUUAAAGGAGAGCCAUUCGUUCAAGCGUUCAACUUCCACCAGGAAAUAUCGCAAAUCUUUACUUCACUUUUAUUAUUUUUACUAAUACGUCCGAUUUCUACGCUUUACGAAACACACGAUGCAGAAAAUAGGAAACGAGGAAAGUUGUGGAUGGUCAAACGAAGUAACAAAUUAAACACUACCGUGAUCAACGAAAAACUUGCACGUUGAGAAGAUUCCCAGAUUUUCUAACCUCCAAAAAAUGACCGAUCAAUGGUAAAAGCAAAAACGACACAAGAUAGGAAUAUUCCUGUUGAGGUUAAGGUUGACUGAUUGAAGAACGAGUGGAUGAAUUUGUAAUAGAAAAGUACAUUGGAAUAAUUAAAGGCAUAAGUAUAAGCAUAAUUUUAUGCUGAUUCAGAUCCUUACUCUCUUAGUGUUACUAGACAAUGGAAUGGUGUGGAGCACGUUCAUAUAUGUAAUAUCGUGAUGGAAUAUAUUUACAAUGAAUGGAUGAUACAGGUGUUAAUCAGACAGAAAAACGACAGUUGUUCAACAUGAACUAAUCGCAGCAAACGUUUAAUAAACAGCACAACUAAAUAAUUAAUCGACUCGACUUUCAUAAACGCAAUCAACACUCUCUCGGCAACGCAACUCGCAAUCACUGUUGAUUCGUCUCUCGUUCCUUAGCAACCACUCGUGGCCAAGAUCACGUAGGCCUCCUCUUUCUAAAACUACGCGAUCGAAACGAGCGCCUCGGCUCUCGCGACAUUCCACGCGGUUCACCCGCCAACUCCCGGGCCCCUCGCUCGCGAUACUAUUUAUUUUGAAGAAAACUUCGAUAGUUAUGAUAUGAAAUUAUACAUCUUAAAUUACAUGUAUUUCUUAAUAAAAUUUUCAUUAAUAUUUUCAUUAUUAUUGUACAUUACUUUAUUUUAUAUAUUCUUUUUUAUUUCUUUAUUGUACUAUAGUUUAUUCUAUUUUGUAUUUAUUUCAUCCAUUUUACUUAUUAUAUACGUUACUGUUACUUUCUUCGUUCGCACUUUAAUUUAGGAAACGGCUUCCUCGAAAAUAUUCGGUUGGCAACUAAGUGAUUGCGGAUUUUGUCAUUACCACCUAAUGACAAAAUCCGCAAUCACUUAGUUGCCCAAUGUUGAGGUUGAGGUUAACUGAUUGAAGAACGCGUGGAUGAAUUUGUAAUAGAAAAGUAUACUGAAAUAAUUAAAGGUAUAAGUACAAGUAUAAUUUAUAAUUUAUAAGUUUAUGCUGAUUGACAUCCUUACUCUCUUAGUGUUACUAGACAAUGGAAUAAUAGGGAGCACGUUUGUAUAUUUAUAGGAAAAGGAUAUUACCAAGAAAGUUAACCUUAUAGCCUUGGCUAGAGACUACAGGGAACAUAACUAGAAACCUGUUUAUUAGUUUCUUUGUUCCUAGACCUUGCAACCCAAAACAUAAUGCAUACUCAAGGGUACAAUAAUAUGCACCGCUCCUUAUUUAGAAUAUUUCUGCGUAAUAGCAGUCCUCAGGUCACGAAUAUACAUAAAUAAAAAUGUAGAGUUUUUCUUGAAGUAGUUACUUCAACAAUUCCUAUAUAUGAUAUUGACGUGAACGUUAUGUAAAAAGUUAGGGAAGAUUAUUCUUUGCCGAGAUAUAGAAAUAAGCAAUUCUUUAAAAAUUGAUAUCACGACAGGAACGUUUUUGAGGCAAACAUACAGGGAGCAUACAUACUUUAUAUUGAAGACGAAAAACAGAUUCGCGAAAAUCUACUCGAAUAUGAAAAGAAGAGCAGAAAGGAAGAGAGAGAGAAACGCAAAGGUAGGAAUUUCUGUUUCCCGCAGUCGGAUGAGAAGAGUCACUGUCAGAAAUUUCAUACAGCAAAGCGAAUUUUAAUGGCGAAAUAUCCGCAUAAAACGAAAAUUUGCGGCGACCAAGCCCUCGAAGUUGAUGCAUCACUGCGAAAGACGAAAUAAGUUUCACGAAUAUGGAAAAAAAUGCCGGAGUCGAUUUCCCGUGGCGUCCUCGUGAAUAAUAACGAGCUCUCCGUGCGACGAGAUUCUUCGAAAACUCGUUAAAAGUUCGGCCAUCCUGGUGACAAAUCAAUCAACUCGGGAAUCCAGAUACGCUGCCGAUAUCCUGCAUCGAUUCUUAUGAUUUCUGGCCCGGUUUUCGCCUAUGAAUCACUUUCCAUCGACGAAAAACCGAUACCUGGCUAAGUUUCUCGUUGGGUUUCGCGUCGAUGGUCAUAUUUUCGCCGGGGAAAUUGCACGAAAUCGACGGGGCGAAGCUUGCGCAGCGAAGUUUCAAGCUAAAUCAAAGAUGAACGAGGGAGUAAGAGACGCUUUGAUGCGAAUCCAAACGAUAUUUGAUGUAAAUUGGUGUAAACUGCGCGAGAGAGAUUCUUUGAUCUUCGCAAUUGCGAAACAAUUAAGAGCUAGCAUGCCGCGAGCAAUUCGAGUAGUUUCUUGCGAGCCUCUGAUGCAAAGUGAACCAGGCUUUUCUUUGCUAUUAGAUUUAAGCCACAUUUAACCGACAUUUCAGUACGAAAUCACAUUCUCACACAAGAAUAUUAUUAACCACAUGUAUUAUAUCUACGAAUUAUAUUAUGCAAAUGAGGUAACAUUAGGUGUAGCGCGUUAAAUAAUCACUCGGUGUUUAGGUCAAAAAUAUGUUUAUUAACAAGCGUCUUCCUUUGAUCGCGUCGCGUAUCGCUCUCGGUUUCGCUAGUCAAUCUCACUGCCCGGUUACGACUCGACCUUAUCGCUUCUUGGUUCGAGCCUAACUGUCGAUCGGAUUCGAUUCUUUUCUUUUCGUCGCCCCUCAAUAUCCCCACUAUCCAACCGUUUGUUUGGCGUCCGCGAACAUUGCCACGCACGCCUUUUUUCUCGAACGGAAGGACCGUUGGGAUAUUGAUGGCUCAUUAGGCACUUCGCUUCGGCGGUAUACAUUGUUGCCGAGUGCCGCUACACAAAUAUUGCCUAUUUAUAUCUGUGUUUAUAUAUCUGUAUUAUGCAAAGAUUGGAAAUUUCCUGGUAAUUUCAACGAGCCGCGAAAUUUUCUACAGAUAUUAACGUGCACUAAACAUAGAAAACUUCGUUGAAAUGAACGUAACUAUUGGGUUAGCAACUAAGUGAUUGCGGAUUUUGUCAAUAGGUGGCCUUAGCACAUUCUUUUGUUUUGUCAACGUGUUCAAAGCACCUAACCCAUAUUGUUUUCAUGUUGCUUGGACUUCCACCUUUAAUUUAGUAAAACAAUUGUAUCGAUUAGUUAUUUAGCUCAUUUUUAUUCCAAUUUAAAAAUGGAAGAACAACACGCACAUUUCAGACAUAUUUUAUUGUAUUAUUUCCGAAAAGGCAAGAACGCAUCGCAAGCACACAGGUUAUGUGCAGUAUAUGGGAAUGAAGCCUUGAAAGAGAGGCAGUGUGAAAAUUGGUUGGCAAAUUUCAUUCUGCUGAUUUUUCACUGAAAAAUGCUCAACGAUCUGACUGUCCAGUUGAAGUUGACGAGACUCAUACCAAGGCCAUUAUCGAUUCAGAUCGUCAUAGCACAACGAGUGAGAUUGCAGAGAAGCUCAAUGUAUCGCGUGCAUGCAUUAAAAAAAAAUUAAAACAGCUUGACUUUGUCAAGAAACUCGAUUUAUGUCCCCCUCAUCAGCUUAAAGAAAUUCUUUGGACGCAACGCAUUAGCAUCUGCGAUUCGCUUCUGAAACGCAACGAAAUUGAUCCAUUUCUGAAACGACUGAUUAUCGGCCACCAAAAAUGGAUAGUUUAUAACAACGUUAAUCGGAAAAGAUCGUGGGUGAUGCAAGAUGAACCAGCCCAGACGACACCAAAAUCUGAGAUUCGCCAAAAAAGGAUUAUGCUGUCAAUUUGGUGGGAUUAUAAAGGAAUUCUGUACUUUGAACUUUUACCAAGAAACCAAACGAUUAAUUCAAACGUGUACGUUCAACGAUUCGCAAAAAUGAGCGAUGCAGUUCAAGAAAAGCGGCCAGAAUUGGCGAAACGUAAGAGUGUUGUUUUCCAGCAUGAUAAUGCAAAGCCCCACACAUCUUUGUUCACUCGCCAAAAAUUAUUGGAACUAGGUUAGGAUGUGUUGUCACAUCCGCCAUAUAGCCCUGACCUUGUGCCUUCAGAUCACCAUUUAUUUCGUUCUAUGCAGAAUUCCUUAAAUGGUAAAAUUUUUAAUGACGCUGAUGAUGUAAAGUCACAUUUAAUUCAGUUUUUUGCUGGCAAAAAUCAGAAGUUUUAUGAACAUGGAAUUGUGACACUACCUGAAAGAUGGCAAAAAGUGAUCGACAAAAAUGGACAAUAUCUAAUUGUAUAAAGUUAUAUUUCUAAGCAAAAAUUUUGAAUUUUCCUUUUUAUUUAAAAUACGCAAUCACUUUCCACGAACAAAAAGGCUUUUGUUUUGGUAUUAGAUUUACAAGAUUCUCGGCCAUACACAGAAACUAUUACAGAUAUCUUUCCAUUAAUGUAUAUGAAAUCUUCUUGCUGAAAUGAACGCUUUAAAUUUUAGAUAAAAGUUUUAAACGAAGAAUGAACACUAAAAGUUCUUACUGACAAUUUACUGAUCGUUAAAGAAAAUGAAGCUUUAAUUCCUUAAAGAAUAUAAAUAUAAAAGAUUCCAGUCAUUUUCGAUCGCAACUUUUCUAUCGUUAAAAGACUCCUCGAGUUCGGGCAAGAUAUAAAAGAAUCGUUAACGACACGCUUCAUUUCCCAUUUCAAUAUUAUACUAAAAAUUUGAAAACUAUUAUAACUCCUGUUUGUUGAAACGCGAACGAAAUUGAGAUAUGAAAAUUUGAGAAACGCAGCAUGGUUAACCAGAGACAGUUCAAACAAAGAAUAAUCAUUAACUUUAGAAUAGCUUCAUCGGUUCUACAUCUUCUUAUCUCAGCUGAACUAAGGAAAGUCACUUCUAUGUACAUUCCACAAAGAGAGAGUAUCUUAUUCUCAAGAUUUGAUUUCCUUGGGGAUGUUACGUUAAGCAGACAGUUUUCAGUCGUUCCAACGAAUAUUACACAAAGGUGCCGUUUCCAUUUUCGUUAAGGAAAUCAUUUAUUGGCUUAAAGAAUAGCUGAAUUCCGAGCUGAAGAUAGUUAAAUCGCAAACCGAAUACGUCUUCGAAGCUGAUGAAUGUGUGGCGGCAUCCGACGGCUUCGCGACACGAAGCGCUAUGCCCAAUGUACCAUAGAUAUCUCUACGGUCCUUUCGCCGAAUAUUCGGAAGAAUGCAUACGCGGCAAUCGUCGUGGACAUCUAACAAACGCGUGCGUAGUGGGGAUAUCGAGGGGCAACAAAGAGAAGAAUCCGUUUGGUUUGGAACAAAAGAUUCAUUCCGUUCCAAAUAGCGAAAUGAGAAGGGUCUAGCGUAACGGCGAAGUGCGAAGGGUCUAGCGUAACGGCGAAGUGCGAAGGGUCUAGCGUAACGGCGAAGUGCGAAGGGUCUAGCGUAACGGCGAAGUGCGAAGGGUCUAGCGUAACGGCAAAGUGCGAAGGGUCUAGCGUAACAGCAAAGCAAACACAUUCGGGAAGCUUGAUUGUUGAUCGUUGAUUGUUGACUGUUAAUUGUUAAAUAAACUUUUUGUUGAAUACCGAGAGUACUUCUUGGGCACUUACAACCAACACCACCUCAAAUGGAGCAUCGAGUGUCAUGUAUCAUGAACACAUGCUGAGAACUUAUCGUGCUUUGUAUUAUUUGUGCUUUGUAGCGUAAUUUUGGCGGAAACUUUAAACGAAAUCAUCUUUACAGGGGAUAAAAUGUAUCAUAUUUUAUAUAAACCUUUUUUGUUCAAACGAAUACUACAAAAUGAUUUGAAGAAUUAGAAGAGAAUUGCCUUUAUUUGGAUUGUUUGAUAAAAAUUAAAAAGAGAUAAAUUGGGUUGAUUAAUUGAUAUUCACAUUAACAAAUUAUUAAGUGACAAACGAAUUGUCAGGCGAUCAAUUUUCUGAGCCACUGUAAGUCUUCUGAAAAGCAUGUGAUGGGUCGAGUCAGGUAAUAUUCAAUUUAAUUAAUUAGCCUGCCUAACUGACGUUAUUAAUAUUUUUCUAUAUGCAAGAUUGCAAAACGGCCAAAAUAGUUUUCACGUGGGACUAAUUAAUGACAUUAUUGAACUUUAAAAUUACUUUUUUAUAAAAGAUAGGAAACGCUAUUCAUAUAUCAUACACAAUUUAUUUCAAAAAAUUAGUAUGUAUCGAAUAUUCUGCUAAACAUUACUUUGUGUAUAUAUUCUGGAAGAAAAAUAUAAUGAUCGUAUUUGCUACAAGCCCUGCAAUUUUCUCUCAUCUAUGGAAGAGUUUAUAUACUCAAGUUAUACGGGACUUUGUAGAUCACUGCGACCAACUCGUUUCAACGCUGGUGCGCGAUGCUAUGAAAAAAUAGAGGAGCAAGAAACUACCUGAAGCCCCAGAGCUCACAAAGGGUACGUAUGAAGUGGUAUGCAUCGAUUUUGAUGAAACUCCAUAGGCUAGUGAAGAAGUGAGAAAUAUUUGCUCACGUGCAGUCGUCUCUGAAACUUCACCAUUUAUUUUAUCCGGAAUAUUUUAAGCCGUGAUAUUCUACUAUCAAAGUAACUUUUUUUUAUCAGUCCUAUCUUUCCAGAAUCUUGUUAUACUAUACUGAGAAGUAUGAUGUAAGUCUGUCUACUGCUAUUUCUUAUAAAAUAAUCUUCUGUAUAUUUAUUGCUAUACAAAUUUCAUUAGAUAUAUUUGUUUAGGUUGUGAAGACGUACCUGACAGAGAAUAAAAUUACAAAUUUAAUUAGAUAAUCAAAGAAAACGACAACCGUGAUAUUUUAUUAUAAAAGAAACAUUUUUUUAUCAGUCCUAUCUUUCCAGAAUCAUGUUAAACUAUAUAGAGAAGUAUGAUGUAGGUUGUGAAGACGUACCUGACAGAGAAUAAAAUUACAAAUUUAAUUAGAUAAUCAAAGAAAACGACAACCGUGAUAUUUUAUUAUAAAAGAAACAUUUUUUUAUCAGUCUUAUCUUUCCAAAAUCAUGUUAAACUAGAUAGAGAAGUAUGAUGUAGGUUGUGAAGACGUACCUGACAGAGAAUAAAAUUACAAAUUUAAUUAGAUAAUCAAAGAAAACGACAACCGUGAUAUUUUAUUAUAAAAGAAACAUUUUUUUAUCAGUCCUAUCUUUCCAGAAUCAUGUUAAACUAUAUAGAGAAGUAUGAUGUAGGUUGUGAAGACGUAUCUGACAGAGAAUAAAAUUACAAAUUUAAUUAGAUAAUCAAAGAAAACGACAACCGUGAUAUUUUAUUAUAAAAGAAACAUUUUUUUAUCAGUCCUAUCUUUCCAGAAUCAUGUUAAACUAUAUAGAGAAGUAUGAUGUAGGUUGUGAAGACGUAUCUGACAGAGAAUAAAAUUGCAAAUCUAAUUAGAUAAUCAAAGAAAACGACAACCGCGAUAUUUUAUUAUAAAAGAAACAUUUUUUUAUCAGUCCUAUCUUUCCAGAAUCAUGUUAAACUAUAUAGAGAAGUAUGAUGUAGGUUGUGAAGACGUACCUGACAGAGAAUAAAAUUAUACAUCUAAUUAGAUAAUUGAAGAAAAUGACAACUUUCUUGCUUAGGUAUCUCAUAAAAUAUUGGGUAGCAACUAAAUGAUUGUGGAUUUUGUCAAUACCACCCAAUGAAUAUCAAACAAAAUUUUGACAUUAGGUGGUAUUGACAAAAUCCGCAAUCACGUAGUUUCCAACCCAAUACAAUGAUGUUGUGCUUCCUAAAAACUUUUUACGUUAUACUUGCAAGAUGAUAUCAGCAUUGCGAUGGCUGCAACACGAUAAAUUGUAACGAUAGCUCGUCGCUGCAAUUGCAGAUUAUUCCACUUAGAAGUGACGCAAUUUAGAAAUUCUACUAAAGUACUUUGGAAUCAAUUUCGUCCAAGUCAUCGCUUCUCCUCCUACGGAUACCAAUUUCUGUCUGAGUUGUACGGUAGAACUUGUGGCCACACAAUGAAAAUCUGUUGCAAACUAUUAUACGAACAACUGUGCUGGACACUCAGAGUCACAUGCAAGAUCAUCUGAUAUUAUCUCGAUGGAACUUAGGUAGAUCUUAUUGCUAGUGGUUGCACAUCUUCGUGGGUAUAAUGGAGAAUUCAAUCCAUCACUGUCAUACCGCUACCCUGAGAAAUUACCCCACAGAUAUAACCAAGCCUUUCUCUACUCUGAGAUACUGUGAUUUAUUUAAAAAGAAAUUCCAUUAAAUCACAAAAAAUGCACGAGAAUUAAAAGUUGAUGUUUCUAUCAAGUUCUAUCAAGUUUGUUGGAAAUAUUGGAAAUUAAAAUUAAUCGUAAAAUCGUAGAAAAAUUAAUCUUUCGUGAGAAUGAAAAUAGCUUAAUGAAAAUUGACUUUUCCCCCAUCUCUCGAUAUUCUGUUCAGACAAAACAUAAAUUUAUUCGCUUAGAGAAGACAUUUUUCUUCUACGGUAAUCUAUUAUCUCUGCUUGAAAGAGUUGCAAAAACUUGUUGAAACAUAUAGAAAUUAGACGAUGUUCUAAUUUUUCCUUUGAACGUGAUUUUUACUAUUAUGUGAAAUUCGAAAAUGAUAAAACAGCUUUUAAGGAUAAUUAAAUUCAUUAUUUCAGUGAGAUAAUAAAUUAUUUCUCUACGAAUGUUAUUUAAUUAUUGAAGCGUUUCUGUGAAUUUUCCAUUAGAGGAGAGCAUGUCAAAAUAACAUGAAAAAAUUAACGCUCUGCAAACAUCGUUCGUAUGUCCCUCGUCUGCAUUAUUUACUACCAACCACUUGACCGACAUAUCACUGCUAAUUUUUCCCAGCUAUGGUACGCCAAGUGACUAAUUGGGACGUUUAUUAUUUUUUUUUUUUUUUUAUUUUAUUUUAUCGUCAGUUAGCUGUUACCGACCGCAUUGUACUGAUCCGCAAAAACUUUAUUCCGUACUGCUUCUACACACGCGAAACGGCCAAUUUUCACAUACAAUUUUCAUAGUACCGAUGAUGCUUGCCAAAGACGUGCACGAAAUAUAGGGGAAAUAUGGGUAUUGGCAACUAAGUGAUUGCUGAUUUUGUCACUAGGUGGCAAUGACAAUCCAAUAUUAAACGUUCGUCGAGAUGUCACGCAAAAUAAAAAAAAGGAAAUCUCAGAUGAAAAGAAAAAUAAAAUAUAAAAAAGUAAAAAGAGAAUUUAUUUUUGAACACUUGGUUUACACUAAUUACGAUUUGGUUCUGAACUCCAGCCGUGACUUUCCAAGACUGAAGCUCUUACAAUUUGACUUUCGAUUGGGCUUCAACUAAAUUAAACGAAACGAAUACGAUUUUCCUUAUCAUUAAAGUUGACUUCUAUUACCAUCCUCUACAUAUGUAAAUUAAUUCGAUGAGAGCCACGUUAAUGAUUGCAUCGCUGUUGCAAAAUGAUCUAUAAUCAAUGCGUAAUUGGAGAAGCAGCGAUCGUAGCCGCAUUUAUUGUACUUCACCGAAACAAGCCGGACGACGAGUUAUCGACAGUAUCUCGAUAUAGUACAAAUGCACGUUAAAUCUGUGUGAAGAGGUCCGAUAAUGAUGUCAUUUAUACAAAACUUAUCGACGUAUCCGCUACUGCAAUUGAUGAUUCUAAAAUUACGUUUUAUACCGUACACAGUCGCAUCCGGUUACGAAAUACAACUGAAAUAUUACGAAGCAUUGAUUAUGAAUUUAUUGCAAUAUUUCUGCAACUUCAAACAACAUUAUCAUUUGUAACAAAUCGGACGCACAAAACACUCUGCGCGCAGACACGUUCUCCAACAGAUGCCUAAUCGUUUCCACGAGUUAAAAAACCGAAAGGACCAAUUUAAUGCAAACAAAACGGCACAUACUACCGAACUAAUUUGAUCAUGCGAAAAGCGAUUAACACUUUGACUGCCACGCCGAAAUCACAUGUUCCGUUCAAAACGCCACGAGAGUAUUUUUAUCAUUCAAAGCAUAUAAUGACAAAAUAAUAAUAAAGUGAUGAACCUGUCGAUGCAUUCGGUUUGAAUCCUCGUAUGAAACUGACUGCCCUUCGAUUUUUUCCUUCGUCUUCUCUUGGAGACGACCCCCACCACGCGCGAGACUCGCAACCGUUCGCGCCAAUGAUCACGUACGCCACUUUUUUGCGUAGGUAAAAUAACGAACCGGAGACGAAUAGAUGUUUUUAAGAACUCGCUGCUUGACGACAACUAUGCGAUUAUCGCUAUAUUGUGUAUAUCUCGCCGGUCAUGUAAGACGAUCUGUCUGCGACACCGUAGUACCAAGGGAGACGGUUAGAAACACGGCCUAUAGUAAACCUCGGGGCGUAGCACAAAUUAUAGCAUAUUCUACAUCACAUAGAAGAACCCUCAAGUGAUAUAUAAAAUUAGCUUCAGAGUUACUGUUAAAUAUAUCAAUUUCAAACGCGAUGAUACUCUAUAAACAAGCAAGAAGAACAAAAAUCAAGGUAUCAGAUUUUAGAAUGGCACUCGCGAUGCACCUUACACAGUGCCAUUCACCAGAGCCGUGAAAUAUACUUAUUCGACAAAGAUUGCGACGCGAAACGCAGAAGAAAGAAGGGCAAGCGUACCUGGCACGAAAAUUUUGCAGAGAGUGGUAUAAAAAAAAUGUUAAACAGUUAGGAUCAAAAAUUGCUAAGAAUCGGAUCAAAGAGGUGACCACCUAUCGUCCAGAUUGUAUCGAUGAGCCACAUUUAGGUUUAAAGUGUUUGAACACAGUGCACCGUUAGAUGCAACAUUUGUUUUCAUUUUUUUUUUUUUUGAUGCUCUAAUAAAAAUGUUUAAUUGUUCAAUGGGGAACUUUUUAUUUCAAAGUAUCUUCUAUUUAUCGGUUAUAUUCAAAAUGCCCCAACUGUCAAUUUUCAUUCAAUUUUGUCACCAAUGACCAAAGUGUUAAACGUACAAAAUGGCGUGGAUGACUUUCACGACUAUAGGCAAUUUAAAUCAAACCUUAUCUGCUAAAGAAUGAAAUUGAAACGAUAAUUACCAGGUUAUCGCGAUGAAGUAUACAAGUGUCAACAGUUGGGAGCGUAAAAUCGAAAGGUGAAAAGAGGCACAGGCCAGAAAGAGAAGAAAAUUUUUCCCUUGGUGAUGUAUCUAUUUCACGAAGAAGAGCAGCGGCGGCAAUUUAAAGGUGCCUUUAAUGAACGCUCGCUUAAAGAACAGUGGCCUGGAGGAACGAGCGUAAGCCCCACUGAACGAAACUGCUUCAGAUUUACGGCUGCAAAUGAAUUACAAUGCUUAACGACGUCCCUCCGCAGGGCAGACCUAUUAAGAAAAACCGAGCAUCCUCAGGGUAGUAUCUGGGACACGCGCUUAUUAUCGCCAGACAACAAGCGGUAAAGAAAACUCGCCGACUUACGACUUCAAUUUCCAGUUUCCCUAAAUAUAUUUUAAAUGAUGGCCCGUUAUUGUAUCCCGCGAAUCGUGACUCGUAUAGAAACACGAUGCUCUAACGAAGUACGCGAAGCCAAAGCUAAUUGCAGUAACCGGGGCCGAUUAAAAUAUACUAACGACGAUUGAAGUAGCCUGGUGAAAAACGUACGAGUUGUUAUCGCGAGAAUAAAGAACGGUAUUGCGCGAGAAACGGACAAAGCAUAUGGAGGAGAUUUCUACAUUAUCGAGGUGGCAGUAACGAGCUUCAUAAUUCACCAGCUGCAAUGGUAAAUGAUGACAAACGAAAAUAUUUUUUUCAUAGAGAAAAUCGUAACGUUAAUUAAUUUUACCACGUAUUUAUUACUGUAUUUUUAUCGUUUAUUCUUAACAUUCAAUCGUUACCAUUUUGAUCAAUAUAAAAGCAAAAGAAAUUAUAAAAUGCUAGAAGUUAUUUGUGCAAUUUGUAGGUUAUAUAUUUUCUACACUUUUAUCGUGUGCCAUUUUGCAAUUCUACAAUUGGUUAACUCUCACGGAGCUGACGAAGUAAAAACUUGCAAUUUAUUCGUCGCAACUUUAAUUUCACCAUCUAUGACACAAACCAAAAUCUUCGUGCAACUUACAACUAUUGAAUUGGCAACUAAGUGGUUGCGGAUUUUGUCAAUAGAUGGUACUGACACCACAGAGAGCAACAUCUUACGUGUUUGAUCGCGUUUGAAAGAUAGGAAGCAAAAAGAAAUUUGAAAAAGACCGGGCAAGAAGGUAAGAAGAGAUAAGAAGAGAAGAUGCAAGGAGGAAAAUAAAGAGCGA
Bombus huntii is the source of this 13760-nucleotide long non-coding RNA. RefSeq lists it as uncharacterized. The transcript has 7 exons. Lineage: Eukaryota; Metazoa; Arthropoda; Insecta; Hymenoptera; Apidae. The record is from RefSeq and is a predicted model, not a curated record.